UACGUAGGGUGCAAGCGUUAAUCGGAAUUACUGGGCGUAAAGCGUGCGCAGGCGGUUUUGUAAGUCUGUUGUGAAAUCCCCGGGCUCAACCUGGGAAUGGCAAUGGAGACUGCAAGGCUAGAGUUUGGCAGAGGGGGGUAGAAUUCCACGUGUAGCAGUGAAAUGCGUAGAGAUGUGGAGGAACACCGAUGGCGAAGGCAGCCCCCUGGGUCAAGAUUGACGCUCAUGCACGAAAGCGUGGGGAGCAAACAGG
RNAcentral lists this ribosomal RNA (253 nucleotides) under uncultured bacterium. RNAcentral describes it as "partial 16S ribosomal RNA". It matches the Rfam family "Bacterial small subunit ribosomal RNA", at positions 524 to 776 of the family's 1533-position model. The record is from RNAcentral.